AGUUUUGAGCAAUCGCGGUUAACUUUUGUUAGCUGAGGAAAGUCCACGCACGCACGAGCUGCGAUGCUCGUAGUUUUUGUACCCAGCCUAAUAAGCUGCGGGAUCCAUUUUGGAUCACGGCGGAAAAAGCGCUAAAUCUUCGGACAUGCGUUACUAUCCUGAAAAGUGCCACAGUGACGAAGCAGUCGAGGAAACUUGGCUGGUGGAACGAGGUAAACCCUGCAAGCGGGCAACCCAAAUUUGGUAGGGGCGUCUCCAUCUAAGGAAUUGAACUAAAGAUGGGAUCAUUUUUUAAUGAAGAUAGAUGGUUGCUGAAGGUAAAGGUUGACCAAGCUUUACUGGAACAGAACGUGGCUUAUAGAA
Lactobacillus hominis is the source of this 363-nucleotide non-coding RNA. The record is from Rfam. NCBI's taxonomy places the organism in Bacteria, Bacillati, Bacillota, Bacilli, Lactobacillales, Lactobacillaceae.